RNAcentral lists this non-coding RNA (26 nucleotides) under Rattus norvegicus (Norway rat). The record is from RNAcentral. Lineage: Eukaryota; Metazoa; Chordata; Mammalia; Rodentia; Muridae.
UAGGCUUUGUGCAUGUGAAAUGAGGA